CAGCCGCCGCGGGAAAACGUAGGUCCCGAGCGUUGUCCGGAUUUAUUGGGCGUAAAGCGAGCGCAGGCGGUUUCUUAAGUCUGAUGUGAAAGCCCACGGCUCAACCGUGGAGGGUCAUUGGAAACUGGAAAACUUGAGUGCAGAAGAGGAAAGUGGAAUUCCAUGUGUAGCGGUGAAAUGCGCAGAGAUAUGGAGGAACACCAGUGGCGAAGGCGACUUUCUGGUCUGUAACUGACGCUGAUGUGCGAAAGCGUGGGGAUCAAACAGGAUUAGAUACCCCGGUAGUCCCUGUCUCUUAUAC
Molecule: ribosomal RNA, 301 nt
Filed under: uncultured bacterium
Lineage: Bacteria
Description: partial 16S ribosomal RNA
Rfam family: Bacterial small subunit ribosomal RNA
Source: RNAcentral